Molecule: ribosomal RNA, 227 nt
Filed under: uncultured bacterium
Lineage: Bacteria
Description: partial 16S ribosomal RNA
Rfam family: Bacterial small subunit ribosomal RNA
Source: RNAcentral
CUGAACCAGCCAAGUAGCGUGAAGGAUGACUGCCCUAUGGGUUGUGAACUUCUUUUAUAAAGGAAUAAAGUCGGGUACGUAUACCCGUUUGCAUGUACUUUAUGAAUAAGGAUCGGCUAACUCCGUGCCAGCAGCCGCGGUAAUACGGAGGAUCCGAGCGUUAUCCGGGUUUAUUGGGUUUAAAGGGAGCGUAGAUGGAUGUUUAAGUCAGUUGUGAAAGUUUGCGG